Felis catus (domestic cat) is the source of this 1112-nucleotide long non-coding RNA. RefSeq lists it as uncharacterized. The transcript has 4 exons. Lineage: Eukaryota; Metazoa; Chordata; Mammalia; Carnivora; Felidae. The record is from RefSeq and is a predicted model, not a curated record.
UUAUUUAAAAAGGGGGAACUUUGCAAGUGACCAUCCUGUAGCCAUUCUCAAUUCUCUACAUUUGCAGACAAGCUGGCAAACAAACGUUGUCCUUGAGGCUUUCCAUCUGCGCCCACGAACUUUGAUUAGCAAUUGAAAGCAGGGUUUGUUUGUUUGUUUUGUUGGUUUUGGAUUCAGGGGCUAUUCACAGCUUUCUGCUGAUGGUGAUGCAUCAUUACUUUGCUGGGGGAAAGGGCCCAGAAUAGCCCAUCGCUCUGUUCUCCUCCCAGCGUCCAAGAAGAAAAAACCAAACUCACCCAGGAUUUCGAAUUGGAGCCAAUUAACUAAUUUAAUCAAUCAGGUAAUUAGCUCAUCCAUUCAAUACAUGUGGUGUUAAUGAAGUAAGGACUGGAUAGAUAAUUUCAGCAUGUAAAUUUUGUAAGGAUCCCCAACAAGUAACCUAUUCUUAAGACAGGCCCAUGCUUUACUGUCCGCGUCCACGGUCAAGGACCUCCAAAAGAGGUAAUUAAAAAAUAAUACCUGCUUAGAAAACUUACACUCUUUCUUGUUCAUGUUAUAAAUAUAACAAAUUCCCUGUUUGGUGUUUCAACGCCCUUUACUUCUCUCUUAAUUUGUCAUUACUCUCAAGUGGAAUCAUUAGUUCAAUUAAAUAUACUUCGUGACUUGUUCACUCAGCUUUCAGGCCACUCUGCUUGCACCUGGCGCCCUCUGGCCACUUCCAGGCCCCUGCUUCCUCCACGCCCAGCGGGCCUCCGGCUCCGCUUUGCUUCCGCUUCCGCUUGCAGUGAUGCCUGCCGGUCCUCCUUCUUCCCGCGUUGAAUGUGUGCUCUGUGGCAUCUCUCUAGCCCCCUCAGUUAUACUACACUGAGAAAUGGGAUUUUGGAUAAAAGGAAAUCAUCCCCUAGAAGCUGGAAGCCCAAGCUUGUUUUCGUCAAUAAACAACAGCUCUUAGACAUGGUGCUUGACUUUUUUUCUGACUCACAUAUCCAUAUAGAACCCGUCAUGCUGUGCUAUAUACUCAAGCCACAAUCAACUGAAGUUGCUCCUUGCCUAAAUUGUUAUUCCUUAUUUGAUAAGGCAUUUGUACCCAUUAAAGCAGAUUCCUGACUCAA